This 333-nucleotide ribosomal RNA is filed under the name uncultured eukaryote. RNAcentral describes it as "partial 18S ribosomal RNA". It matches the Rfam family "Eukaryotic small subunit ribosomal RNA", at positions 1470 to 1796 of the family's 1831-position model. The record is from RNAcentral.
CCCUUAGAUGUUCUGGGCUGCACGCGCGCUACACUGAUGCGCUCAACGAGUUUACGACCUUGCCCGGAAGGGUUGGGUAAUCUUUUUAAAACGCAUCGUGAUGGGGAUAGAUUAUUGCAAUUAUUAAUCUUUAACGAGGAAUUCCUAGUAAGCGCGAGUCAUCAGCUCGUGCUGAUUACGUCCCUGCCCUUUGUACACACCGCCCGUCGCUACUACCGAUUGAACGGUUUAGUGAGGGCCUCGGAUUGGUCUCGGCCCGCUCUUUACCGGGCGGCGCCGUUGGUCGAGAAGACGCUCGAACUUGAUCGUUUAGAGGAAAUAAAAGUCGUAACA